This 148-nucleotide non-coding RNA is filed under the name Nomascus leucogenys (northern white-cheeked gibbon). Lineage: Eukaryota; Metazoa; Chordata; Mammalia; Primates; Hylobatidae. The record is from Rfam by way of RNAcentral.
GCCGGGUGUGGUGGUGCACACCUGUAAUCCCAGCCACUCGGGAGGCUGAGGCAGGAGAAUCGCUUGAACCCAGGAGACAGAGGUUGCAGUGAGCUGAGAUUGUGCCACUGCACUCCAGCCUGGGCAACAGAGUGAGACUCCGUCUCAA